Molecule: ribosomal RNA, 736 nt
Filed under: uncultured bacterium
Lineage: Bacteria
Description: bacterial SSU rRNA
Rfam family: Bacterial small subunit ribosomal RNA
Source: RNAcentral
UGUGGAAUUGCCUUUGAUACUGCUCACCUUGAGUCCAGCUGAGGUAGGCGGAAUGUAGUAUGUAGCGGUGAAAUGCUUAGAUAUACUACAGAACACCGAUUGCGAAGGCAGCUUACCAAACUGGCACUGACGCUCAGGCACGAAAGCGUGGGGAGCGAACAGGAUUAGAUACCCUGGUAGUCCACGCCGUAAACGUUGAUCACUCGUUGUUGGCAAUACACCGUCAGCGACCUAGCUAAUGCGCUAAGUGAUCCACCUGGGGAGUACGAUCGCAAGGUUGAAACUCAAAGGAAUUGACGGGGGCCCGCACAAGCGGAGGAGCAUGUGGUUUAAUUCGAUGAUACGCGAGGAACCUUACCUGGGCUUAAAUGUAGUGUGCAUUCCCGAGAAAUCGGGAUUUCCUUCGGGACUCAUUACAAGGUGCUGCAUGGUUGUCGUCAGCUCGUGCCGUGAGGUGUCGGGUUAAGUCCCAUAACGAGCGCAACCCCUAUCUUUAGUUGCUAACGGGUUAUGCUGAGGACUCUAAAGAAACUGCCCGCGCAAGCGGUGAGGAAGGUGGGGAUGACGUCAAAUCAGCACGGCCCUUAUGUCCAGGGCUACACACGUGCUACAAUGGCAGGUACAGUGGGCAGCUACCACGCAAGUGGAUGCUAAUCUCCAAAACCUGUCUCAGUCCGGAUCGGAGUCUGCAACCCGACUCCGCGAAGCUGGAUUCGCUAGUAAUCGCACAUCAGCC